GCAUCCGUGGUGUAGUGGUCAACAUACUCGCCUUCCAAGCGAGUGGCCCGAGUUCAAAUCUCGGCGGAUGCA
This is a non-coding RNA of Fimicolochytrium jonesii, 72 nucleotides long. The record is from the annotation of a RefSeq genome assembly. Lineage: Eukaryota; Fungi; Chytridiomycota; Chytridiomycetes; Spizellomycetales; Powellomycetaceae.